GACGAACCGUGCAACCGUUGUUCGGAAUCACUGGGCUUAAAGGGCGCGUAGGCGGCUCGCCAAGUCGGGGGUGAAAUCUUUCGGCUCAACCGGAAAAGUGCCUUCGAUACUGGCGGGCUGGAGGGAGGUAGGGGCAUGUGGAACUUCCGGUGGAGCGGUGAAAUGCGUUGAUAUCGGAAGGAACGCCGGUGGCGAAAGCGACGUGCUGGACCUCUUCUGACGCUGAGGCGCGAAAGCUAGGGGAGCGAACGGG
Molecule: ribosomal RNA, 253 nt
Filed under: uncultured bacterium
Lineage: Bacteria
Description: partial 16S ribosomal RNA
Rfam family: Bacterial small subunit ribosomal RNA
Source: RNAcentral